CCCUUAGACGUUCUGGGCCGCACGCGCGCUACACUGACCAGUGCAACAAGCAUCCGUCCUUGGCCGACAGGCUCGGGCAAUCCUUGAACGCUGGUCGUGAUGGGGAUAGACUUUUGCAAUUUUUGGUCUUCAACGAGGAAUUCCUAGUAAACGCAAGUCAUCAACUUGCAUUGAUUACGUCCCUGCCCUUUGUACACACCGCCCGUCGCACCUACCGAUUGAAUGGUCCGGUGAAGCCUCCGGAUUGGCGCGCACCUCGGUGCCGCCGAGAAGUUGGCUAAACCUUACCAUUUAGAGGAAGGUGAANUCGUAACA
This 315-nucleotide ribosomal RNA is filed under the name uncultured eukaryote. RNAcentral describes it as "partial 18S ribosomal RNA". It matches the Rfam family "Eukaryotic small subunit ribosomal RNA", at positions 1470 to 1796 of the family's 1831-position model. The record is from RNAcentral.